GACGAACGCUGGCGGCGUGCCUAAUACAUGCAAGUUGAGCGCUGAAGGUUGGUACUUGUACCAACUGGAUGAGCAGCGAACGGGUGAGUAACGCGUGGGGAAUCUGCCUUUGAGCGGGGGACAACAUUUGGAAACGAAUGCUAAUACCGCAUAAAAACUUUAAACACAAGUUUUAAGUUUGAAAGAUGCAAUUGCAUCACUCAAAGAUGAUCCCGCGUUGUAUUAGCUAGUUGGUGAGGUAAAGGCUCACCAAGGCGAUGAUACAUAGCCGACCUGAGAGGGUGAUCGGCCACAUUGGGACUGAGACACGGCACAAACGCCUACGGGAGGCAGCAGUAGGGAAUCUUCGGCAAUGGACGAAAGUCUGACCGAGCAACGCCGCGUGAGUGAAGAAGGUUUUCGGAUCGUAAAACUCUGUUGGUAGAGAAGAACGUUGGUGAGAGUGGAAAGCUCAUCAAGUGACGGUAACUACCCAGAAAGGGACGGCUAACUACGUG
RNAcentral lists this ribosomal RNA (497 nucleotides) under uncultured bacterium. RNAcentral describes it as "partial 16S ribosomal RNA". It matches the Rfam family "Bacterial small subunit ribosomal RNA", at positions 28 to 507 of the family's 1533-position model. The record is from RNAcentral.